CCAUUACGUAGAUCCUGAUCUACCGGUAGAUCUAAAACAGGUCCCAAGUAGAACCGAAGAGUGUCGAGGAGAAAAAAAACAAACAACCAUUUGUGUGUCUUUGUACAUGUUAGUAAUAUAUUUUUUUGUGUUAAUGUACGCUGCACCAUAAUCAUCCUAUCAGUCUCCUUUUCACAAAAUAAAUAUUUAAAAAUAAAAUAAAGCAGGUAAAUCUUGAAUUUAUGGGGGCGCGUGAUGACGUCACCGGAAGUUGUUUGCGCUCAUCAGUCUGCAAUUGCAGCUUGUGAUCAGAGCUGUUGCGCUCUCAAUCUUUUAUCGACAUUAUUCCCAUUCAGAGUUUGCUUUGUGUACAAUUCACCGAGGACACGGGCAAAGAAGAGGAACCUAGGAGGACCCAGGGAAGCACUUUAAAACGCCAAUCACACGCUGAAUUAUUUCAUCACAACGGCCUCUCAAAUUCCAAACCUACCAGAGUACUGGGAGCUGGCCUAUGUUGAUGGCGAUCACAUUUUGCAGUUUGACAGCAACAGCAGGAAAACGAAAGCCAAACAGGACUGGGUGAAUAAAAUCCCAGCAGAGGAUCCACACUUCUGGCAGAGAGAGACACGCAACAGUAUUGCCUAUGAGCAGGUUCUCAAAGUCAGCACUGAAAGCUUGAAAAAGCGCUUCAACCAAACUGGAGGUGUUCACAUGAUCCAGAGGAAAAUUAGCUGUGAUGGGAUGAUGAAACUGGUGAAGUUGAUGGCUGGGAACACUACAGUUAUGACGGAGAAGACGUCAUAUCAUUUGAGCUGAAGACAAUGAGAUGGAUCGCAGCACAUCAACAAGCUUUCAUCACAAAAAACAAUUAGGACC
This is a long non-coding RNA of Hippocampus zosterae (dwarf seahorse), 855 nucleotides long. RefSeq lists it as uncharacterized. Lineage: Eukaryota; Metazoa; Chordata; Actinopteri; Syngnathiformes; Syngnathidae. The transcript has 3 exons. The record is from RefSeq and is a predicted model, not a curated record.